UGGCUAGAUUUCAAUGAAACUUUUUUAUCAAGGAAGAUGAGAAUAUCAUUGAUGUUACCGGGUUCGACCAUUAAACACAGAGUUAUUACCCCUGAUUAGUUAAACAAUAAUAUGAAGUUAUUUUCGUUUCGGAGAGCUAUUUCCUGAAAAACUAUUGGCUUGAUUUAAGUGAAAUAUGACGUUGUACUGUGAAAUAAUAAUCGUGGAAGAACAAUGAAAAAAAACCCAAAAAAUAUCAUCCAUAAACGCAUAAAAGAAACAGCAAAUUUGUUCAAUUCAGUGAAAGAUCAUUUUUUAUUUCACUGAUGAUCAUAUAAAUCAAUAUUUUCACUCGUGGCAGCAGUAGCCACGAGUGAAAAUAUUGAUUUUUAUGAUCACUAGUGAAAUAACAAUCCAUCUUCCACUGACAUUUUGUUGGAGGUUUUGUAUCAUGGGUAAGGAUAAUAAAUUAUCUUCAUCAAUAUCUGAGGUACAUACUACAAAGGAACUUAAGUCAAGUGAUAAGAAUCAUGCGGCGAGGGGAUAUCAAUUUAACUAGUUUCCUUUUGGGGGCGCAAGCCCCCAGUGUAAUUACGAUAAAUUCAGUUUACGACAUUUUGAACGCAUCUAGGCUAUCUAGAUGCACUGAGCAAAAAUAGUUCCAAUAUUUUGCCAUAAUUUUCAGAUAAUCAUUAAACCUUAUCUAUUUUAAAAUUGACUGGUCAUUUUAUUACUAAACUUUAAAUCAUUUUAUUACAAAUUUACAUAAAUCAUUUCUUUACGCGAUUUGAAUAUUACUACGCCAGCAGUCGAUAAAAAUUUAAAGAGAACCAGUUUAUUUUUCUACCUUCUGGUUCUUGAUGCAUGAGAGCCAAAGUACGUGCAUUAAUUUAGUGCCAAUUUUAUUAAGUCAUAAAUUAACUAUCAUUGAAUACAAUAAUUCAGGAAAAAAAGAAACACGAUUUCAAUUUAAGAUAACUUUCAUGCUUAAAAUGCUUAAAAAGUGUGAAUGUCAGAGAAAAAAAUUUUAGUCUGAUCGUUUGAAUACGAACUAUUUUCCCUCUGGCGUCAUUUUCCCGCCAUCGCCAUCUUGGCUAGUUAUUCCGAGAAAGAUUGAGAAGUUUUGCUAUCGAAUAGGAAGUCCCAGGUGUUUAAAAGAGUUGUAAGUUUUAUUAAACGAACACUUAAUCUCCUUUAUACCUAACUAUUAAGUAUCUUUGUUGCCUUUUCUUGCAUUUAUCAGUAGCAAAAUCGUCAGGAAAACGACCUAUUUUGGCUGUUUACUGCAGGUCAAGAUGUUUAUUAUUGAUAUUUAAUUACGUUGUAAUACGUUGAUAUUAUAGUUGCAAUCUCUUUCGUAUGUAGAAUCAAGUUUUCUAUACAAUCUUGUAAAGCUAUUGAUAUAUUUCGCUUGAUAGACUGCACAUUUUAGUGCAUUAUAUCGAUUCAGGGUCAGCUCGGUUCUAAAACGUACUCUGCCCCCCAGUCAGCUCGGCUAUUCUCCAACUUGGUCCACUUUUCAAUAUAUUACUAGUAAUAUAUUGGUUUGUUUUAUCACUCUUUAUUGUUGAAACCACAAAAUUAAUAUCUGGAUUAACUCAGAAACGUGGAAAGAUAUUUUUUUAAAUUAAUAUAACAUUUUUGGGGGUGCUUAACUACCUUUUGAACACAUCUCUAUUAGGUAUCUAAGCUGGACAAAAUAGGUCCAAAACUUGCCAUGGUAUACAGGAAAAAUGUAAUAAUUGGCAAAAUUGAUAUUUUUCUAUUUUGUGAUCAUGAUUUUUGCAAGCUACUGGAGGUAAUGCCCCCGUCCUGUAAUGAGUUAAAUCCUGUCCUAUGAGAGUCAAAGAAUGUGCAUAAUAUAGAACCAACAUUAUUAAGUCAUAUGUGAACUUACUAUCAUAGAACGCUACAACUAACAAAAUAUUGCACUAUGUUUUUUUUUCCAACCAGAUAAGCUUUUAAAUGCUUCAAAAGUGCAAAUAUAUUGUAAGAACUUUGUAUGCAUAUGAAAUAUGAAUACAUACUAUUUUCUCAUGUACGUAAUUUUCCCGUAUACAGGAAUUUUUUCCAGGAUUUUGGGAACACGACCUAUACCCAUGGAAUUGGGAUUUUCAGCAGUGUUUUGUAAAAAAUUGGGAAAAAUUGCAUGACUGAAAUUUUGCAGUGAUUUAACGGAUGCAAACAAAUACUGUCUAGGAUGACAUCUUCAAACAUUUAAGCACUAUUAAAGUGAAGAAACCCUUAUUUGCAAAGAUUUUAAAAUUUUCAUUCUAUAUUUUUAUUAUUUAAUUUCAAUUGGGAAUUUUUUCCUGUGAAUUGUGAAAAUAAUAUACUAUUUUCAAUUCGGAAUAUGACCCAAAAACGGCUGUAAAAAAAGCCCAAAAAAUCUCUGCCAUUAUCACCAUGAUGACAAGGUAAGCAGGUAAACAUUGCGAAAUUUUGUUCACUGUUGACUACGACUGUAUGAUAUUCAUUGUUUAUAUUUCACUAUACUUUGAAAAAUAAUUGCAAUCUGGUGUAACAAUUACUUCAUCCCUUUGUUUUUCCCUUUAGUGAUUAAAAUGCAUAAAAUCGUGUGAAAGAAAUCCGAUUCAACUCGGCCCUUGUCUAACUCAUCCCAAAAUGUUAAAGGACUGGUAAUAAUUAUAAUUGUUAUACAAUAUGACUGAAGUUCAGAUCUACUUAUUUCAUUCAUGUAGAUCUGAUUUCCACAGUUUUGCCUUCAUCAGAUGUAGGAUUUCAUGAUAUUUAUGGUCAGUCCAUAACUUUAUAGAUUUUUUAUUUGUAAAUUCAAAGACAUUUAUAUGAAAAUAGUAGUUGUAUUAAAUUAUAAAAAAACACAGGUCAAUAAUAAUAAUACUGAGUAUAUCAUUAAAUAUAACAGUAUGGUAAUAUUUAGAACAAUUUGAUGACUAUCAAUUUUCACUCUAAACAAAAAUUUAAAAAGUCAUAAUACACUGAUGAAACUUAACUUAUUACCUUUGUUGAUAUAAACAAUCAAUAAAAACAACUUAUCUUUAGCAGCAGAAUUUUAUAUACAUCAUAUUAAGUCAUCAUUACUUUUAUUGUUUAACAUUAUUCUAUAUGAUAAUUAAAUUAAAAGUAUUCAAAAGUUUUUAAUAUUGAUGGAAGUCUGCUAUUGGUAGAGGAAGGAAUACUUUACAAUGGCAGUGGCUAGCAAUAUGAACCAGUAUUGUUUGACAAAAGUGCUGGCUGUACGCGAGUCACAUACGACUAGAAUAUACUCACUGUUGAGGCUAGCCGUACAGCAUUUUAAAAAUGAGUUGCCUAAAACAAUAAUAUGCAAACUUGUUUCUAAAAGAAGAUUAUAUUGAAUAUCAUAUACAAUUUACAGUUGGUAUAUUAAUUUUUAGUGUUUGAUGAUAGGAAGAUAUUUAUUCCUUAUAAAAAUCAUGGACUUGAAUAAUUUUAGUCUGUGUGAAAGCGCAAAGCGAAAUAGACUGAAAAUUAAUUUAUUAUUUCUAUGGACAAUAUAGAUGUAAUACAUUUGUAAUCAAACAUGCGGGUCAAUUUCCAGCAGUGGUUGAAUUAUGAAACCUAAUGCAUUACCUCCGCUUUGAAAAGUAAUCAAAUAGGCAAGAACUACUGUUAACUACAUUGAAAAUGAGGGCCAUGGGUUCAAUCCCCAAAAGGGUCAACUUUUUUUUCUUUCUUUUUUUCUUUUAACAUUAUUUAUGUAUCUCUCAUGUCCCAUUUGGAAAGAAAAAAGUGUUUAAUUUUGAUUUUUUAAUUUAUAUAGGUAUUUAUUGGCUAAAUUAUGCUAAAUCUAAUAAUAAAUAUGGUACCUGAUAUUUUCAAAGUGUAAUAUAAUCAAAACUAGACGGUAAAAGUAUUUCAUAUUUUACAAGAUCAACCAAUAUACUUUUUUUAAAAAAUUAGGGAAACAUUAAAAAACAGGCACUCAUUUGGGUAAAUUUUAAGAAUUUGUUAAAUUAGGCUCCCUAAGUAGAAAAAUGGUCAGACACGUGGUAAAAAUGGGUGGGGUAGGGUAACAUUUUUAUACAGAUUUCAUAAAUUUUAAGUAGAAACCAUAAUUUUGCUUAUUUGGAUUGUUAGCUGAAUGGUACUAUUUGUUUCUUACCAAAAAUUAAUGGGAAAACAUUUUUCAUUAGAAUAUUAUUGCAGAUUAUUUAAAGGUUCCUACUUUCUAAAAAAGGGCCCUCAUAACAUCCUAGCUUGAGUUCAGAAAAGUGGCCAUAACUUGAUUUCUGUACGGUAAACUUUGUUUAGAUUUUGCAUACAUGUGUACUUUAAGGUAUACAUCUGACUUAUGAUGUCAAUUUUUUAGUUCCUGAUAGUGCCCAUUAGGGUCCUAAUACCUUAAUAAUAAUUUUAUUUAACUUUUAGCUACUUGACAAUUUCAUGCUGGAUGUUUGCUUUCCAUUACAUUUUGCAUAAGAGCUCUAUAAUUGGCAUUAAAGUCCACGGGCCAAUUUAUUUCGAUAGAUCUUUCCGAAAUCUUGUUAUAAUAUAAAUGGCUGAACAUCAUCAUAGAAAUAAAAAAAAUUAAUUAUGUUAAUUCUUUGUAAAAAUGUUAGAAGAUUUGCAAGUUACUGACUUUAUCAUUGCAUCUAUUUAUGAUUGAAAAAAUGGCUAGCCUCAACAGUAUGUAUAGGCUAGAACUUUCGGUUUGCAUUUUAGGCCAAAAUAUAUUGUUACAGUCAUGACGGCUUUCGCGUUGCUGACAACAAACUUUAACCUUGUUCAUAACUUUUUCAGAUCUUGGUGUAUUGUCUUCAUACUUGGCGACAACAACCCUUCAAGUAGACUGGACUAUACUAGUAAACUUGACCUUCAUAUUAACAUUCAAGAAGGUAGGCCUACAUGUCAGAUUUGUGAAUGUCAAUGGCAGGAUAUCGAUUUAAAGCGUCAAUGAGGAUAGAAUCAAGAGAGAUACAGGCUUAAAGAUGAGACUGUCAAUCUAACUAACCUUGAAGUGAAUAAAUGGAAAAAUGUUUCUUUCAAUAGCAUGGACAUUUAAGGAAGAGGAAACAGAGGCGCUUGUAUGAUAGAACAGUAAAAGCAGGAGUGAUAAUAGAAGUUACAUGUGGAUAUGUCUUUAUGUCGGAAACACCAGGGAAAUUGAAAUAUUUGGGUUUUUCAAAACUUAAAAGAAAUUGGCCUGCCCUUUGCAAUGUUGGAUAGUGAGUUUCAGAUGUGAUGUCGAAAGCCUCAUGAAUAUAGUACCCUGACUUAAUUAGUAAAAGAAAUGACAUUGAGGAGAAAACUAGUCACCAGUCUUUCACGAAGAACAUUAGAUAACUUUCCAAUAUUUGAAAUAUCAUAAUAUGUAUAGAACUUUAAUGAGCCACCAGUUUUUCACCAGGAAAAUAUUAUCACUUAUCUAUUUUUGAAAUAUGUAUGAACAGAACUUUUUCAACUUUAAUGUGAGAGUUUAUCACAAAGAACAUGAGAUAACCUAUGAACAGAACCACAUUUGUAUAUAGAGGCACCAGUUCAUCACCUGAAGUAACUUAUCAAUGUUUAAAAUUUGUUUGUACAAAAAAAUAUCAAGGUGCAAGUUUCUUUUAUUAAGAACACUUAUUGAUUAGAUAACUUACAAUAUUUACAAACAUUUAUAGUACCAUACCCAUUUAAAUAUUUCAGCUUAGAGUGUAUUAUCCAAAAUACACGUAUUGUUAUAAUGUACUUUAUAGUGUAUUUAUUAUUAUAUUUAUUAUAUAGUUUUAAUUCUACUUGAUUAUCAAUAAGUAUGUUUUUAAAAACAUUUUGAUUUUACUAGAUCUUGAAAAUAUUAUAUCCCAUGCACUUUCAUUUAAUUUGGAAUAAUGAAUCCAAUGAAUACUAUAAUAAGAAUAGGAUUAAAAUUGAUAAUGUUUUUAUAUCUUUAACUAAUAUAAGAGUACAAAAGUAAGGUUUAAACUUAAAGAAAAAAUGUCCCCACUGGCCUAGGGUUUGAUACCAUAACUCUCAGUUCAUUGCUGUUUGUAGAUUUUCUUGCCUAUAAAUAUACUCAAGUAUGUUAUAUAUAAUAGUGUUGUUUUUUUUAGCUUUGUUUUUUUUUUAUUUUGAAGCAGCAUGCCUCCACUUUAUUGCUAUUUUUCAUGAAAAUUUUGAAAAUGUAUAUCAAAAUAAAAUAUUGUGAAGUAAACAAAGAAAGUAAUGACUAUUGAACAUAUUGCUAAUGACACAAUCCAUAUAAUUUACCAAAAAGGUGCCAAAAUAUGCAAAAAUAUCCCGGGAAGAGUCACACUUUAGAUAUAUGGGGAUCAUUUGAAUAUUGCAAAAUCAGUCAUAAAUGGCACAUAAUGUAAGGUAUUUCUUGGACUUUUAACUUUUCUUAAUAUCUGUUUUAACAAGUUUGAUUUCUUAUGGCAUAUCUGAAGGCAUUGAACAAUUAAUUCUAAAAGUAAUUGUUUCAUAGAGAAAUAGUUAUUUGAUCACAAUUUUAGUUUUUUUUACUGUUUGAAAAAGAAGCUUUGAGUUGAAAAAUAUGGAAUAUUUUGUUAAAUCUUUGUUAGGCUUGUCCAUCCGAUAGAAGAUUUAUCUAAAAAUGAUAGGACUAAAACUGCAUAGAAAUUAUGAUGUUAAGCAAAAACAACCCUUAAAAUUGAAAGGGCAUAAGUUUGACUCUUUUGCAAAUUCCACAAGAAGUUUCAUUUAUAUUUUAUUCAUUUAAAAAAAUUAUAAUUGCCCAUAAAUGUACCAAAUAUGAUAUGAGAAUUUUCUAUGAAUGCCUAUUGAUAUUUUAAAAAUCUGUUAUUCAUGUAGCUCUGAUGAAAAUUUUGGCAAAUUGUGUUACACGCUUAUUGAUAAUUGUUAGUAUAUUCAUUAGUAUGAUAAUCACUAGUUGCAUAGUUUAUUAUAAUAACACUUCUGCAUGUUUCAUUUAAAACAAAUUUUGUUGGAAAUGGUGAAACAUAUUCAGUAGAUUUUAAGGCAGCUGAUAUGAAUAAGGGCAUGUGUUUAGCUAAACAAUGAAUUUCGAGCUAUUGCUACAGUCAAGUUGCUGUUCCUGCACAUGUUGCUUACCAGAAACUUUAAACUUAGCUUAAUUUUUCAAAAGACUUUUCUUGGACACAACCAUUUUUUGGACAAGAUAAUCAAGAAGACCGAAUGAAGUUGACCUUGAUUCAUGAAUUAUAUUGACGACGAGAUCAAAUGUAUGAAUUUUGAUUUUGAAUUUUUAUUUUCUUCAAACUUGAAAACUAAGACAUAAAAGAGAAUCAAACACAAUAUGACAUUGACUUUAAUGUACUUGAUGAUAAAAUUAUUGAAUUUCACAGUUUUUAGCUAUAAUUUGCUAUUGUUUUGCUUUGAUUAUACAUUGCAUCAGCACUGUAAAUGUCAUAAUAUGGUUACUGUCCAGCAUGACUGCUGGAGUGAACAACCUUGACCACUCUGUCACAGACUAUCCUUCUAACAAGACAUCCCAAAAGAUUAAAUGGAACUUGACCUUGAAUUUAAUUAGGGACAUACUAUUGUUUUUGCCUUCACCAUCUGACCUUCCGUCAAGUCGUCUGCAUUAAGCUUAUCCGAACUUCACAGGUUUAACUACUGGUGGAACUUCAACUAAACUGUACAGGAGUGAUCAAUUCCAUCCGUAGUUAUGCGCAUUACCGGCAAGUUCCGAUUUGCUGCUCAAAAUGGCUACCAAGCUAAAAUUAAAAAAAUCUUGUCCGGCCUUCACAUGUCAAACUUCCGGUGGGAUUUUAACCAAACUUUACAGGAUUGAUGAGUACCAUCCCUAGGUAUACACAUCUUCGGCAAAUUCCACUUCGCUGCACAAAAUGACCACCAAAGCUAAAAAUAGAAAAAUCAUAUCGACUUUCAAAGGUCAAGUUACUGGCGAGAUUUCAACCAAAUUUUACAGUAUUGAUCAGUACCAUCCCUAGUUAUGAACGUUGUGUACAUCGCCGGCAUGUGACGCUCUGCAGCAAAAAAUGGCUGCAAGAUCUAGAAGUAGAAAAAUCUUGUUGGAUUUACAGGUCAAACUACUGGUGGGAUUUCAAUUAAACUUUACAGAAGUGAUCAGUUCCAUCCCUUGUUGUGCACAUUGCCUGCAAGUUCCGUUUCACUUCACAAAAUGGCCACAACAGCUUAAAAUAGAAAAAAUCUUGUCACAGGUCAAACUACUGGUGGGAUUUCAACCAAACUUAAUACAAGCCUUUGUUGUGCACAUCGGCAUCACGUUUAACUUCGCUGCACAAAAUGGCUGUGAGAGCUUUAAAAAGAAAAAUCUUGUUCGGCUUUCACAACUGCUGGUAAGAUUUCAAUGAAACUUCCCAGGAGUGAAUAGUGCCAUCCCUAGUUGUGCACAUUGCCGGCAUAUUUUGUUUCACUGCACAAAAUAGCCCCAGAGAUAAAAAUAGAAAAAUCUAUCACAUGUCAAACCGCCAAAAUUCAAAGGAGUGAUCAGAACACAUGUUUUGUGACCUCUAUUUGAUAAAAAAAAAUCUUUGGAGUUAGCUUGAAUUGUCAUUACUUUGUUAUUUUUUAGAGAUUUGAUUCAUGCUUGGGCACACAAACACAAACACAAAGCAACAUGUUAAAUUUUUCUGAUAUAACUUUUACCUUUAAAUGACUAUUACCUCCAAAGUUAAAACAAGUGAAAUUCGCUCACAUUGUCAUAACUUUGUUUUUAUCUAUGAUUUGUUUAAUUCUUGGACAAAAGAAAACUUAUCAUUCAACUAUGACCUUUACUUAAAUGUGUUGACAGUCAAACUCAAAUUUACUUUAUACAUUUUUGUUAUGUUUUCUAGGAGUACUCGAGCCGAGCAUGACCCAAGCUAGAUAGUGGCUCUUGUUUUCAAUGCCAACUACAUUAUAUGUAUCCAUUCCAUUUUACAUUGUCACAUGUUUAGUGUAUUGUGCUUGUUGGUUUCUACAAAAAAAGUUUGUUCUGACAGUCCUAGUUUUAUUUUAGAAAUAAUUUAUAGACAGUUAAAUUUUCUGUUUAUUUUCUAUAUGCAUAAUCAUUU
Long non-coding RNA from Ruditapes philippinarum (Manila clam), 8945 nucleotides. RefSeq lists it as uncharacterized. The record is from RefSeq and is a predicted model, not a curated record. The transcript is spliced from 3 exons. NCBI's taxonomy places the organism in Eukaryota, Metazoa, Mollusca, Bivalvia, Venerida, Veneridae.